RNAcentral lists this ribosomal RNA (556 nucleotides) under bacterium Skdkislt3. RNAcentral describes it as "bacterial SSU rRNA". It matches the Rfam family "Bacterial small subunit ribosomal RNA", at positions 509 to 1065 of the family's 1533-position model. The record is from RNAcentral.
CAGCAGCCGCGGUAAUACGUAGGGUGCGAGCGUUAUCCGGAAUUUUGGGCGUAAAGAGUCGUAGGCGGUUUGUCGCGUCUGUCGUGAAAGUCCGGGGCUUAACCCCGGAUCUGCGGUGGGUACGGGCAGACUAGAGUGCAGUAGGGCAGACUGCAAUUCCUGGUGUAGCGGUGCAAUGCGCAGAUAUCAGCAGGAACGCCGAUGGAUAAGGCAGGUCUCUGGGCUGUAACUUACGCUGAGGAGCGAAAGCAUGGGGAGCGAACAGGAUUAGAUACCCUGGUAGUCCAUGCCGUAAACGUUGGGCACUAGGUGUGGGGACCAUCCACGGUUUCCGCGCCGCAGCUAACGCAUUAAGUGCCCCGCCUGGGGAGUACGGCCGCAAGGCUAAAACUCAAAGGAAUUGACGGGGGCCCGCACAAGCGGCGGAGCAUGCGGAUUAAUUCGAUGCAACGCGAAGAACCUUACCAAGGCUUGACAUGUUCUCGAUCGCCGUAGAGAUACGGUUUCCCCUUUGGGGCGGGUUCACAGGUGGUGCAUGGUUGUCGUCAGCUCGUGU